CCUACGGGUGGCAGCAGUGAGGAAUAUUGGUCAAUGGUCGUGAGCCUGAACCAGCCAAGUCGCGUGAAGGAUGACGGAUCUAUGGUUUGUAAACUUCUUUUAUAUGGGAAUAAAGUGAGUAACGUGUUCCUUUUUGUAUGUACCAUAUGAAUAAGCAUCGGCUAAGUCCGUGCCAGCAGCCGCGGUAAUACGGAGGAUGCGAGCGUUAUCCGGAUUUAUUGGGUUUAAAGGGUGCGUAGGUGGUUAAUUAAGUCAGCGGUGAAAUGUUGUGGCGCAACCAUAAAAUUGCCGUGGAAACUGGUUGACUUGAGUGUAUUUGAGGUAGGCGGAAUGCGUGGUGUAGCGGUGAAAUGCAUAGAUAUCACGCAGAACUCCGAUUGCGAAGGCAGCUUACUAAACUAUAACUGACACUGAAGCACGAAGGCGUGGGGAUCAAACAGGAUUAGAUACCCGGGUAGUC
Molecule: ribosomal RNA, 460 nt
Filed under: uncultured bacterium
Lineage: Bacteria
Description: partial 16S ribosomal RNA
Rfam family: Bacterial small subunit ribosomal RNA
Source: RNAcentral